Small nuclear RNA from Ochotona curzoniae (black-lipped pika), 110 nucleotides. Lineage: Eukaryota; Metazoa; Chordata; Mammalia; Lagomorpha; Ochotonidae. The record is from RefSeq and is a predicted model, not a curated record.
GUGCUUAUUUCAGCAGCACAUACGCUAAAAUUGGAAUGAUACAUAGAAGAUUAACACGGCCCCUGCACAAUCUGUAAAGUUUCCUUAAAAAAAAAAAAUAGGAUGUUUCU